Molecule: ribosomal RNA, 493 nt
Filed under: uncultured bacterium
Lineage: Bacteria
Description: partial 16S ribosomal RNA
Rfam family: Bacterial small subunit ribosomal RNA
Source: RNAcentral
AUUGAACGCUGGCGGCAUGCCUUACACAUGCAAGUCGAACGGUAACAGGUUAAGCUGACGAGUGGCGAACGGGUGAGUAAUAUAUCGGAACGUGCCCAGUCGUGGGGGAUAACUGCUCGAAAGAGCAGCUAAUACCGCAUACGACCUGAGGGUGAAAGCGGGGGAUCGCAAGACCUCGCGCGAUUGGAGCGGCCGAUAUCAGAUUAGGUAGUUGGUGGGGUAAAGGCCUACCAAGCCUACGAUCUGUAGCUGGUCUGAGAGGACGUCCAGCCACACUGGGACUGAGACACGGCCCAGACUCCUACGGGAGGCAGCAGUGGGGAAUUUUGGACAAUGGACGCAAGUCUGAUCCAGCCAUGCCGCGUGCGGGAAGAAGGCCUUCGGGUUGUAAACCGCUUUUGUCAGGGAAGAAAAGGUUCUGGUUAAUACCUGGGACUCAUGACGGUACCUGAAGAAUAAGCACCGGCUAACUACGUGCCAGCAGCCGCAGUAA